ACAUUUGAUCUAGAUUUUGAAGAGUAGGUGGGGAGAACAUUCCAUGAAGAAAGCAAAGCAAAGUAUGUGAUAUGGUUCAAUAAUGAGAGUGUGUCUUACUCUACUCUGGGCACAGACAUUUAAUGUGCUUGAAGGGAAAGGUUUGUGUUGGGGGAAAAGCUGAAAACAAGGAGGCUGCGAAAGCCAUUUGUGACUUCCUGGUGAAGAAUCUCACCAAAGACCAUUGACUAGAUUCUGGAGACAGAGUGAAGGUACUCUGAUAUUUGAAGAUCGAACCAAAUGUCAGGUCCUUCCUACUGACAGACUUAAGGACUGUGGGAACAGCUCUGGGGAACUAUCACGUCAUGGCUUCCAAAAGCAACACUAAAACAACUAUUAUUCAGAAUUCUUGUGCUCAAAAGUAUUUAUUGAAUACAUCAUUGAAGUGAAAAAGAAGACAUGGAGAAUUCAGAGAACCACAACCACUCAUGCCCAGACUUCAGAAAAUAAUGACACUCAAAUAUAGGAGCGACUCUGAAAUUGUCCCAAUAAAGAUUUUAAAAUAAUGGUAGAAGACAUAGGUUAAAAAGUUAGGAAUAAUGUUACGUCCUCCAGCAAAGCUCUGAACCCCUCCAAGUCACCCAUGACUAUCUCAGCUAGAUCUUCUGGAUUAACACUGCAGCUUCCACAGCAGCACUUGGAUUGUUACAGAGACAACUCCUUUCCUUACACCUUAGGAACCCACCUCUGCUAGCUUCAAACUUUUCUUCUGCAGCUUCCUCACCUCUCUUAGCCUUAACAGAAUUGAAGAGUCAGGCUCUUGGGGCAUGUGGGUGGCUCAGUCGGUUGGGCGGCUGUGUUGGG
Molecule: long non-coding RNA, 843 nt
Organism: Mustela erminea (ermine)
Lineage: Eukaryota; Metazoa; Chordata; Mammalia; Carnivora; Mustelidae
Exons: 4
Source: RefSeq, a predicted model, not a curated record